Molecule: long non-coding RNA, 258 nt
Organism: Alosa sapidissima (American shad)
Lineage: Eukaryota; Metazoa; Chordata; Actinopteri; Clupeiformes; Clupeidae
Exons: 3
Source: RefSeq, a predicted model, not a curated record
GCGAAGCAAAAAUGUCUGCCUAAGGGAAACUCGCAAGUUACAUACAGGGGAUAUUUGCAAAAUAUAAUUCUUUCAAGGUUGAAAUCGUUGUCUGUCAGACGCGCAAAAGGAAGACAAGUCAACUAUAGGCACACCAGAUCGCCCUAGUUGGAUUUUCAAACGAGAAAAGAUGUUCUCCCCACCAGUAAGCAGUGGGAAGAACCGGCCGACCACCCUUGCAAGCAGUCAGUUCACCACUGCAGGUAUGGAUGAGCGGAC